RNAcentral lists this ribosomal RNA (253 nucleotides) under uncultured bacterium. RNAcentral describes it as "partial 16S ribosomal RNA". It matches the Rfam family "Bacterial small subunit ribosomal RNA", at positions 524 to 776 of the family's 1533-position model. The record is from RNAcentral.
UACAGAGGGGGCUAGCGUUGUUCGGAUUUACUGGGCGUAAAGCGCACGUAGGCGGUUUCCUAAGUCAGAUGUGAAAUCCCAAGGCUCAACCUUGGAAUUGCAUUUGAAACUGGGUUACUUGAGAACGAGAGAGGAUAGUGGAAUUCUUAGUGUAGGAGUGAAAUCCGUAGAUAUUAAGAGGAACACCAGUGGCGAAGGCGGCUAUCUGGCUCGUAUCUGACGCUGAGGUGCGAAAGCGUGGGGAGCAAACAGG